RNAcentral lists this unclassified non-coding RNA (317 nucleotides) under uncultured Funneliformis. Its description in RNAcentral is "sequence contains ITS2". The stretch from base 1 to 52 matches the Rfam family "5.8S ribosomal RNA", at positions 103 to 154 of the family's 154-position model. The record is from RNAcentral. Lineage: Eukaryota; Fungi; Glomeromycota; Glomeromycetes; Glomerales; Glomeraceae.
AACGCAAAUUGCACUCCCUGGUAUUCCGGGGAGUAUGCCUGUUUGAGGGUCGUUAGAAUAAAAAUCGAGGCAUCGCUCUUUUUUUUAGGGUGAUCGCGUCGGAAUUGAGCCGUCUUUCAAAUGUUAAUUCAUGUCAAAGUGGCUUAAAAUUUCAUCCAUCCGGUACGAUUAAAGCGUAUUUAAGAUCAAUUUUGAUUAAGAACGCGCGAUGACGUACCAUCUCAUGUAGUACGUUUGACCUGGCGUCGUCAGGAUCAUUCGUAUACGAUACUCAAACUUUUGACCUCAAAUCAGGUAAGAAUACCCGCUGAACUUAA